This is a long non-coding RNA of Oncorhynchus keta (chum salmon), 670 nucleotides long. RefSeq lists it as uncharacterized. Lineage: Eukaryota; Metazoa; Chordata; Actinopteri; Salmoniformes; Salmonidae. The transcript has 3 exons. The record is from RefSeq and is a predicted model, not a curated record.
UCCCUACUCUCUCUGUGUCUCAGUGAUGGUGCUAAUGCUAAUAUGGACGCUCAAACUACUAUUCGCCUGGCGGGAUCUGGGGUUGAAUAUUCAGUCUCAUGGACAAUAUUAAUGUCAAUAUGAACGUUUGCUUCACAAAUAGAACCUUUUGCUUGUGUUUCUGAGCUGUAGACAUGCAUCCUUCCUUCCUUCCUUUCCUUCCUAGUAAGGAAUGAUCUGACCAAUCUGGUUAGACUUGGAUUGACCCUCACAUGCCACAAAAUCUGCUUAUUGUAAAGAAAAUGUGAGUCCUCUCUGGUAGGGAGGAGUCAGAUCAGUGAUGACUCUCUGGUAGGGAGGAGUCAGAUCAGUGAUGACUCUCUGGUAGGGAGGAGUCAGGUCAGUGAUGACUCUCUGGUAGGGAGGAGUCAGAUCAGUGAUGACUCUCUGGUAGGGAGGAGUCAGAUCAGUGAUGACUCUCUGGUAGGGAGGAGUCAGAUCAGUGAUGACUCUCUGGUAGGGAGGAGUCAGAUCAGUGAGUCCUCUCUGGUAGGGAGGAGUCAGGUCAGUGAUGACUCUCUGGUAGGGAGGAGUCAGAUCAGUGAUGACUCUCUGGUAGGGAGGAGUCAGAUCAGUGAUGACUCUCUGGUAGGGAGGAGUCAGGUCAGUGAUGACUCUCUGGUAGGGAGGA